GACGAACGCUGGCGGUGUGCUUAACACAUGCAAGUCGAACGGUAAGGCCCUUUCGGGGGUACACGAGUGGCGAACGGGUGCGUAACACGUGAGUAACCUGCCCUCAUCUCUGGGAUAACAGUCGGAAACGGUUGCUAAUACUGGAUAUGAGCCUGCAAGGCAUCUUGUGGGUUGGAAAGAUUUUUUGGUUGGGGAUGGACUCGCGGCCUAUCAGCUUGUUGGUGAGGUAGUGGCUCACCAAGGCUUCGACGGGUAGCCGGCCUGAGAGGGCGACCGGCCACAUUGGGACUGAGAUACGGCCCAAACUCCUACGGGAGGCAGCAGUGGGGAAUAUUGCACAAUGGACGGAAGUCUGAUGCAGCAACGCCGCGGGCGGGAUGACGGCCUUCGGGUUGGAAACCGCUUUCAAUUGUGACGAAGCUUUUUGUGACGGUAGCAGUAGAAGAAGCACCGGCUAACUACGUG
RNAcentral lists this ribosomal RNA (465 nucleotides) under uncultured bacterium. RNAcentral's name for it is "partial 16S ribosomal RNA". It matches the Rfam family "Bacterial small subunit ribosomal RNA", at positions 28 to 507 of the family's 1533-position model. The record is from RNAcentral.